GACGAACGCUGGCGGCGUGCCUAAUACAUGCAAGUAGAACGCUGAAGGAGGAGCUUGCUUCUCCGGAUGAGUUGCGAACGGGUGAGUAACGCGUAGGUAACCUGCCUGGUAGCGGGGGAUAACUAUUGGAAACGAUAGCUAAUACCGCAUAAGAGUAGAUGUCGCAUGACAUUUGCUUAAAAGGUGCAACUGCACCACUACCAGAUGGACCUGCGUUGUAUUAGCUAGUUGGUGAGGUAACGGCUCACCAAGGCAACGAUACAUAGCCGACCUGAGAGGGUGAUCGGCCAAACUGGGACUGAGACACGGCCCAGAAUCCUACGGGAGGCAGCAGUAGGGGAUCUUCGGCAAUGGACGGAAGUCUGACCGAGCAACGCCGCGUGAGUGAAGAAGGUUUUCGGAUCGUAAAGCUCUGUUGUAAGAGAAGAACGAGUGUGAGAGUGGAAAGUUCACACUGUGACGGUAUCUUACCAGAAAGGGACGGCUAACUACGUG
This 495-nucleotide ribosomal RNA is filed under the name uncultured bacterium. RNAcentral's name for it is "partial 16S ribosomal RNA". It matches the Rfam family "Bacterial small subunit ribosomal RNA", at positions 28 to 507 of the family's 1533-position model. The record is from RNAcentral.